Diabrotica virgifera virgifera (western corn rootworm) is the source of this 820-nucleotide long non-coding RNA. RefSeq lists it as uncharacterized. The transcript is spliced from 3 exons. The record is from RefSeq and is a predicted model, not a curated record. Lineage: Eukaryota; Metazoa; Arthropoda; Insecta; Coleoptera; Chrysomelidae.
UUAUUUUAUAAGUUAAUAAUUGGUCAUAUCCAUUUAUUAUUUUAAUAAUAAUUGUGAAUAAGCCACAAACUUCGCUUAUUCCUAACUAAAAUAGUAAAUAGAGAUAAUAACAAAAGGAUUUGUAAAACUAAAUAAUUCUUUUUGCGUUUUUGCUAAUGUAUGCCUUUAUAAAUAGGAUGGUAGACCACACACUAUAAUAUGCAGUACCAACUAAUGAAUACACAGAAUAUUAUAGUCGAUUUGCUAAACUCAGUCUCAUUAAUAAUUACUGUAAUUUUGGCAAAAUUGGCCAAAAACAAAAAAAUUACCUACUAAAAUCACUAGCCAGUUGUGUCUGAGUUUGGGGAACCGACUAUACUAAUAAACAAUUUCUAAGCUGUUUUAUAAUAUUUUGUGAGUUCAUUAAUCAUAUUUUUUAUUUAAAACUAAAAUUUGUUAAUAAUGCUUAGUAAUGCAUAUAUUUUGUAUUUUUAGCUUUCCAGAAGAUCCUGCGAAGAAGACAUGAAGUAUAGAUCAGAUUUGUUAAUAGAGGAGUAUGUUCAAAACACUUUUUAGAGAAAGAUAUUGACAGAACUUCACUUUCAUCUGUUCGUUUGAGAGACUGUGCUGUUCCAAUAGCUUAUGUCACACAGAAUCAGCUGAGAGAAGUAGGCUACAAAAAACCAGAAAGGAAACGGAAUAUGUGGCUACGAAAAGCAAAAGAAAGGUUUACAAAGCAAAUGUGACACAUUUUUUUAUAAUAUUUAGGAAUGUCAGUAAAUUACCUACAUUAAAAAAUGUAUGUAAAGAUUUUUUGCAAUAAAAAUGUUUAUAUUUAUCA